UAUCCUUCACCUUCUCUUCUUUUUCAUUUUUACAAGUCUUUUCUUGUUUCCUCUUUUUUCUUUUUUACGUGUAACUUCUUUCUUUUUUUUCUCUCACCCUUCCGAUUUUUCUAUUCUUGUUGUCAAUCUUUUUUGAUUAAUGACAAAAAGGGGAGUAAUAGGGUUUGAUUUUGAUUGGUUUUAUCCAUUGAUCAAUCUCGAACAUCAAUUAAUUUGGAUGAAAUUUCUUGUAAUUAUGAUAUUAUAUCAAUGAAUGAAAUUU
Molecule: long non-coding RNA, 262 nt
Filed under: Lathyrus oleraceus (garden pea)
Lineage: Eukaryota; Viridiplantae; Streptophyta; Magnoliopsida; Fabales; Fabaceae
Description: Pisum sativum (pea) long non-coding RNA (PSAT_LNC005081)
Source: RNAcentral